CCUACGGGAGGCAGCAGUGAGGAAUAUUGGUCAAUGGACGAGAGUCUGAACCAGUCAAGUAGCGUGAAGGAUGACUGCCCUAUGGGUUGUAAACUUCUUUUAUAUGGGAAUAAAAUGUUCCACGUGUGGGUUUUUGUAUGUACCAUAUGAAUAAGGAUCGGCUAACUCCGUGCCAGCAGCCGCGGUAAUACGGAGGAUCCGAGCGUUAUCCGGAUUUAUUGGGUUUAAAGGGAGCGUAGGUGGAUUGUUAAGUCAGUUGUGAAAGUUUGCGGCUCAACCGUAAAAUUGCAGUUGAAACUGGCAGUCUUGAGUACAGUAGAGGUGGGCGGAAUGCGUGGUGUAGCGGUGAAAUGCUUAGAUAUCACGAAGAACUCCGAUUGCGAAGGCAGCUCACUGGACUGCAACUGACACUGAGGCUCGAAAGUGUGGGUAUCAAACAGGAUUAGAUACCCGAGUAGUC
This 460-nucleotide ribosomal RNA is filed under the name uncultured bacterium. Its description in RNAcentral is "partial 16S ribosomal RNA". It matches the Rfam family "Bacterial small subunit ribosomal RNA", at positions 338 to 795 of the family's 1533-position model. The record is from RNAcentral.